This is a long non-coding RNA of Cyanistes caeruleus (blue tit), 721 nucleotides long. RefSeq lists it as uncharacterized. The record is from RefSeq and is a predicted model, not a curated record. Lineage: Eukaryota; Metazoa; Chordata; Aves; Passeriformes; Paridae.
GGGCUGCACUCGUGUUGCUGCCUGCAUUUAGGAUCAAAACAAAGUUCAGUGGGUUUACAAGUGUGGGCUACGGAACGUGUGGAGGCAUCAUGCGCAGUGCGCCCUUUCGCCGUUCACAUGGUGAAGCUGUGCACACCCUGCUCUACCCCCACACUGAAAUUCUGAGCAGUCAGCACUUGACAGGAGCAGAGCUGUCGUUUCCUUAUCAUCUGUGAAACUCGGCACUCUUUUGUUUUUUCUGCAAAGGUCCUGCGUUUCGCACCUAGAGUCAGCGAUCAUGUCUCUAUUUCGGUGGUAAGAUAAAGCUGUCCCCCAUCUGAACCGAGGAAAUAAGCACUCGUCACCUCACACCUCUCAUAUCUACGCUGAAGGUGGAAAUGUGAGGGCAGCAAACACAGAAAUAUUGAACUUGUGGUGGUGUCACUGGUUGGCUAUCAAGCAGUACAAACCCAUGAUUAUUCAAGCUUUGCUAUGGGCAAGUUUCUCUUGAAUGAACUGUGAGAGGCUGAGGUAAACCUGUACAGGAGUACUUGCCACCAUGACUGUUGACACCAGUUCCAUAGUAGAAAGAUAAGAACUAGAUCAUUAUGAAACUGCUGUGAAAAUCUACCAUCAAUCAAAAAUUGUACCUCUGCAAAUUGUUUCUGUGACUGGAUCAGUCCUUAAUCUGCUGUAUUCCUAAAAUGGGUAUCAACAUAAAAUGAUUUAAGAUUGGCACCAA